GCAUAUCAAUAAGCGGAGGAAAAGAACCACGGAUUGCCCUAGUAACGGCGAGUGAAGCGGCAAGAGCUCAAAUUUGAAAGCUGGCUCCUUCGGGGUCCGCAUUGUAAUUUGCAGAGGAUGCUUCGGGAGCGGUCCCCAUCUAAGUGCCCUGGAACGGGCCGUCAUAGAGGGUGAGAAUCCCGUAUGGGAUGGGGUGCCCGCGCCCGUGUGAAGCUCCUUCGACGAGUCGAGUUGUUUGGGAAUGCAGCUCUAAUUGGGUGGUAAAUUUCAUCUAAAGCUAAAUAUUGGCCGGAGACCGAUAGCGCACAAGUAGAGUGAUCGAAAGAUGAAAAGCACUUUGAAAAGAGAGUUAAACAGCACGUGAAAUUGUUGAAAGGGAAGCGCUUGCGAUCAGACUCGCUCGCGGGGUUCAGCCGGCCUUCGGGCCGGUGUACUUCCCCGCGGGCGGGCCAGCGUCGGUUUGGGCGGCCGGUCAAAGGCCCCUGGAAUGUAACGCCUCUCGGGGCGUCUUAUAGCCAGGGGUGCCAUGCGGCCUGCCCGGACCGAGGAACGCGCUUCGGCUCGGACGCUGGCAUAAUGGUCGUAAGCGACCCGUCUUGAAACACGGACCAAGGAGUCUAACAUCUACGCGAGUGUUCGGGUGUCAAACCCGUGCGCGCAGUGAAAGCGAACGGAGGUGGGAACCCCCCGGGGUGCACCAUCGACCGAUCCUGAUGUCUUCGGAUGGAUUUGAGUAAGAGCGUAGCUGUUGGGACCCGAAAGAUGGUGAACUAUGCCUGAAUAGGGCGAAGCCAGAGGAAACUCUGGUGGAGGCUCGCAGCGGUUCUGACGUGCAAAUCGAUCGUCAAAUUUGGGUAUAGGGGCAAAAAAAUAUCGACCAUCUAGUAGCUGUCUGCGA
Molecule: ribosomal RNA, 898 nt
Filed under: Penicillium ubiquetum
Lineage: Eukaryota; Fungi; Ascomycota; Eurotiomycetes; Eurotiales; Aspergillaceae
Description: LSU rRNA
Rfam family: Eukaryotic large subunit ribosomal RNA
Source: RNAcentral